CAUGAAGUCGGAAUUGCUAGUAAUCGCGGAUCAGCAUGCCGCGGUGAAUACGUUCCCGGGCCUUGUACACACCGCCCGUCACACCAUGGGAGCCGGUAAUACCCGAAGUCAGUAGUCCAACCACGUGAGGACGCUGCCGAAGGUAGGAUUGGCGACUGGGGUGAAGUCGUAACAAGGUAAC
This 181-nucleotide ribosomal RNA is filed under the name uncultured bacterium. RNAcentral's name for it is "partial 16S ribosomal RNA". It matches the Rfam family "Bacterial small subunit ribosomal RNA", at positions 1319 to 1500 of the family's 1533-position model. The record is from RNAcentral.